This is an RNA transcript of Musa acuminata subsp. malaccensis (wild Malaysian banana), 1395 nucleotides long. It is a transcript of the gene named rac-like GTP-binding protein 5, with no coding region annotated. NCBI's taxonomy places the organism in Eukaryota, Viridiplantae, Streptophyta, Magnoliopsida, Zingiberales, Musaceae. The record is from RefSeq and is a predicted model, not a curated record.
GGUGAUGACGUUGGGUAGGAGUUGGAAGUAUAUUGAAUGCAUUCUUUACUCCUCUAAAUAAUAUUAAUUCUCUCUCACACAACGGACACACAUUGUUAAUGGCAUAAUGUAAUCUGUUCUUCUUGACGACCGCUUCCGUCGCACCAUUUACCGGCCGAUCCGUUCUUCCCCAUUUCCUCUCUCUCUUUCUCUCUCCCACUAUUCCUCUCUUUCGUUUCUUCACGGAGCCGGAGGAAAGAGAAGGGAAAGAGAGGGAGAGAAGGGGACCUUAAGGCGAUCGUUUUGUGCAUCUCCUCUCCUUCCGGGGCUGGGAUGUGUACCCGUUGAAUCCGCGCCGAGUCGGGUUCACGCUCCUUGCAGCAGGUGGAAUAGGAGGAAGAAAAGACUGCUUUCUGAGGGGAGGAGGAGAUAGGCGGAGGAGAUGAGUGCGUCCAGGUUCAUAAAGUGCGUCACGGUGGGCGACGGCGCCGUCGGUAAGACCUGCAUGCUCAUAUCGUACACCAGCAACACUUUCCCCACGGAUUAUGUCCCUACAGUAUUCGACAAUUUCAGUGCUAAUGUUGUAGUUGAUGGUAACACAGUUAACAUAGGCCUGUGGGAUACUGCUGGCCAGGAGGAUUACAACAGACUUAGACCUUUGAGCUAUCGAGGUGCAGAUGUUUUUUUGCUGGCAUUCUCUUUGAUAAGUAAAGCGAGCUAUGAAAAUGUGGCUAAGAAGUGGAUUCCUGAGCUGAGUCACUACGCACCUGGUGUGCCUAUAAUUCUUGUUGGAACAAAGCUUGAUCUCCGGGAUGAUAAGCAGUUUUUUAUAGAUCACCCUGGUGCAGUACCUAUGAGUACUGCUCAGGGGGAAGAGUUGAGGAAGCUGAUUGGCGCGGCAGCCUACAUCGAGUGCAGCUCCAAGACCCAGCAAAAUGUUAAGGCAGUUUUUGAUGCGGCCAUUAAAGUGGUGCUUCAGCCACCCAAUCUGAAGAAAAAUAAGGGGAAAGGACAUACGAGUUGCUCCAUCUUGUGAAUAUAGACUGACCCCCUAUCUUGGAAGUGCCUUGCUCCAUUUUGCGGAUCUUGUUUGUGGCCUACAAACAACCGAAGCAUUAGAUGGACGUUGGCUGUCGAUCAAACGGCUUCUGAUCGAUCUCAGCGCUGGGGAACCAUUGAAGCCUGACGUCAUCUUCAUCCUGGAAAGCGGCGGUUCGGCGUUCCGCUGCAGCCAAUCCUCCUUAUUUGCUUCUUUUCAAAGUAAUAUUUCGCUAGGGCUCCAUCGAUCCAUGCUUAGGUCAGAAAGAUUGCGAGCUAUUUCCUUCCGAAAUACUCUCUUACAUUCCUGUUCUUUUUGCUCUUCUCGUCUCUGUCUUUGCUCUCUUGGUUGGGGGGUUUCGGCGAGAAGAGAAACCC